UCUACGGGGGGCAGCAGUGGGGAAUAUUGGACAAUGGGGGCAACCCUGAUCCAGCCAUGCCGCGUGUGUGAAGAAGGCCCUCGGGUUGUAAAGCACUUUCAGUGAGGAAGAACGCCUGGUGGUUAAUACCCAUCAGGAAAGACAUCACUCACAGAAGAAGCACCGGCUAACUCCGUGCCAGCAGCCGCGGUAAUACGGAGGGUGCGAGCGUUAAUCGGAAUUACUGGGCGUAAAGCGCGCGUAGGUGGCUUGAUAAGCCGGUUGUGAAAGCCCCGGGCUCAACCUGGGAACGGCAUCCGGAACUGUCAAGCUAGAGUGCAGGAGAGGAAGGUAGAAUUCCCGGUGUAGCGGUGAAAUGCGUAGAGAUCGGGAGGAAUACCAGUGGCGAAGGCGGCCUUCUGGACUGACACUGACACUGAGGUGCGAAAGCGUGGGUAGCAAACAGGAUUAGAUACCCCUGUAGUC
This 465-nucleotide ribosomal RNA is filed under the name Vreelandella stevensii. Its description in RNAcentral is "partial 16S ribosomal RNA". It matches the Rfam family "Bacterial small subunit ribosomal RNA", at positions 338 to 795 of the family's 1533-position model. Lineage: Bacteria; Pseudomonadati; Pseudomonadota; Gammaproteobacteria; Oceanospirillales; Halomonadaceae. The record is from RNAcentral.